Bombyx mori (domestic silkworm) is the source of this 1449-nucleotide long non-coding RNA. RefSeq lists it as uncharacterized. The record is from RefSeq and is a predicted model, not a curated record. NCBI's taxonomy places the organism in Eukaryota, Metazoa, Arthropoda, Insecta, Lepidoptera, Bombycidae. The transcript has 2 exons.
UAAUAAUUUUAAUAAAUUUGAAUUAAAAUAGUGUAAGAAAAAAUGAUUUUAUUGAAAAAACCGUGGGGUGCUUUUCAGGAUAUUAUCAAAAUAACCCUUCUAUCAUAUCUAUAAAUAUUUUACAGAUAUGAGUAGAAAAUACUGAUACCAUGCACCCCACACUUUUUUACAAUAAAAUCAUUUUUUCUUACACUAUUUUUAAUUCAAAUUUAUUAAAAUUUAUUUUCUAUUUUUUAGUUGCAUUUUCUAUAAAAGCGUAUUUUGUUAGUUUUUUAAAACUAUUAUUUGUUUUUCAUUUUUUUUAAAUUUUUUUUUUAGUAUUGAAUUGUCGUCGGUCCUUAAUAAGUAUACAAAAUUUCCAGUUAAUCCGACGUUUUGGAGGGGGUCAAAAUCAUGUUCAAAGAUUCCGUUACAUGCAUACGUCUGAAGCUAAUAAAAGCGUAUUAAAAAUAUUUAGAUUUUUAGAAUUUAUUUCCAUAAAUAGACAUUAUAUAGGCUUUAACAAAAACCGACUUCGAAUAGAAAAAGAUUUUCCAAAACAAAUUAAUAUACACUAAAAACAAUAAUCAACGAAAUCGGUUGGCGUGAUAUUGAGUUAUUCAUUUAUUUGUCGCGCACGUACUUAAUGCAAAUUUAAGACUUACAUGGUUUUCUCAUGGAUACCAUUGUCAGAACUGGACAAAAUGAAAUAGAAAUGGAACCACACGGGAAGCGUCAGCUUUCUAUUAAAAAAAGAAUCGUCAAAAUCGAUUCACCCAGUCAAAAGUUAUGAGGUAACAAACAUAAAAAAACCGAUACAGUCGAAUUGAGAACCUCCUCGUUUUUUGAAGGCGGUUAAAAACACUUAAUUUUCGUACUCACGUGUCGGGUCCGCCGGUUGUAUAUGACAAUCUAUAGUACCAUAUAUUUAUAGAUCCUCUCAAUUCAAAGAACUUAGUAAUACAUUGUAUAAAACAAAAGGAAGUUGUUUGGAAUUUUGUUUAUUAGGCACACAAUGUUUGUAACAAACCAUUUAUUGUAUUACUUUAUGGCUGAGUUUAUUGUUUUGCUCGAUCCCCAUGAGGAGAACCAGGAAGCGAACGUUUACUAAUUCAAAAAACUCACUACACGGUGAGCUACAGUUUUUAUAAUUUAUUCGCAGAACGCGCCGCACCGAUCCGCCCCAUAUUUCGUUGCUGACUGUACAAAUUUCAUUCAUCUCGUGUCAUUUACGAAUGGGCUUGAGUUAUAUGAGCGUGAAAUGUUUUAAAUAGUGACGAAUUUUAUUGUAAAAACGGUGUUCUGUUUUACAUAAUAUGUAACCUUUGAAGUGUACUUACUUUAUGUACUAGUUAACUGUGUAUUUGGAAUCUAAGUCGGUGCGUGGGUGAUAGACAUGCUGAAUCUUUCAUAUUCAAAAUUAUUUGUUCUAUUCCGGCAUAGUCAAAAAAACGAAAGAAAAAACAAUAA